Long non-coding RNA from Anser brachyrhynchus (Pink-footed goose), 1596 nucleotides. NCBI's taxonomy places the organism in Eukaryota, Metazoa, Chordata, Aves, Anseriformes, Anatidae. The record is from Ensembl.
UUCAGGUGCCCAGGGCGGUGCCGAAUGGGACCGGGCUCUCCUUCCUGUGCGCGGGCGGACGGGGACAAUGGCUCCGACCUGGCCCAUGAAUCGCAGCCUGGGCUCGCCCUGCAAUCAGCUGUGCUGCUCACAGGAAACGAGCCACCUGCCCUGCUUCCUCUCAUUUAACUGGUUUAUUUUUAAGUGGAAAAGGCUGUGAGUUUUGUUCCUUUUUCUCAGGGACUUCAGGUCCCUGAAGGCUGCUGCAGAACAGUACAGGCAGCCUCGGGAGCCUGCCUGUGGGAACCACUUGCUGGUAUCUUCACGCAGCAGCACAGAACUAAAGCCAGGGCUAUCUGCAAGGUGUUCAUGGACCAAAAUACUGGGCACAGUGGCAGAAACUCCUGAAGUUAUCGGAGCCUCAUUCUGCCACGUUCACAAGGAGAGCAGUGGAAAAUGUAACUGAACAAAAAGGCAGGUCCUGGCACACUUCUGUAGCUGUGCUGUCCAAGGCUGCAUCUCUUGCUGCUGUUCGUGUGGUCCUGGUGAGCAGAGAGGCUCUCCAGCUGGGAGGCAGCACGACUGCCACCAGUUUGAUCUGGACUUUUGCUGACAUCUACAGUGAUAUCCCCUCCCCUGCAAUGCCUCCAGCCUGUACCACGUUGCUCCUUGUGAAGACAGCUGGCCUAACUCCAGCUGGGUGCUGUGGGUCCAGGUACGGUGCUGUGCCCAGGCGAGGUGUUCCUGUGAGGUAACACUGUUUCUGGGACCAGGCUGGGUUUGUCUGUGUGGCACAGCAUUGCAGUGUGUAGAUGUGCUAGUUUCUUUGUGUAUCUGGCUUGGGGAUCUCCAGCACAGCUCUGCAUUACAUGGUGUAAGCAUGCCUGUAUUUGCAAGACUCAAGAAGUAAUUAAUGACUAAGUAGAAAACUAAGGAAUGCAUGUACAGAUCCUUUCUUAGGGCAAUUCAAGGCCCAUCCAUGUUGACAAACCACUCCUUUUAUUCUCCUCUUUAUCUAUACUAAUUCACUUUAGUACCAAUUAAUCCACAUCUUUCAACUUGCUCACCCAUCCUCUUUAUUUUUUUUUUUUUUUAACCAUGUUAGAAUUGUUUCUGGAUGUGGUUCUUUAUCUUUCACUGAAGUACUGAAUUUCUGCCAACCCAAUGGUUCUCUUACAAAGAGGAAUGUCAAGUGUUUGAGAACAAUUAGCUUUAGUCAAAGGGAGAUUCAAAAAUAGCACACUGCCACAUGUAUAAGAACAAAACCUGUCGUAAUGGUAUUAGGGUGAACUUUAGCCAUAGUUCUAGCUAAAGAAUUUAUUUAUUAGACUUCUAUCUGCAGGGGAAGGGGAGGGAAAGAGGAGAGUUCCUGAGCCAUAUUUCCCAUUGGGUUCUGCUGGAAAAGGCACACACCAUUUCGCUUUAUCUCUGCAAAGCUGUGUACGUAGGUAAUUGAAGAGAAGGGUCUUACCUGCCUGCCCUUUGUCUUUGCGUGGUUAUCUCUGCAAAGCAAGGCUCUGCAGGUGCAGAAGACAGACUGGACUGAAUUUAAAAUUGCCAGCCUUAUCACUUCUGUGAUAUUUCCUCCAGAUUUACCAGGCUCCUGUGACUAAAAUC